Non-coding RNA from Phthorimaea operculella (potato tuberworm), 72 nucleotides. The record is from the annotation of a GenBank genome assembly. NCBI's taxonomy places the organism in Eukaryota, Metazoa, Arthropoda, Insecta, Lepidoptera, Gelechiidae.
GCGCCCGUAACUCAGUUGGCAGAGCGGUGGAACGGUGAUCCACAGUCCCGGGUUCAAGUCCCGGCGGAUACU